GUGUUUGAUCCUGGCAGAGGCUACUGCUAUUGGGAUUCGAUUAAUCCUCCAAGUCGAACGAGUUUAGACUCGUGGCGUACGGCUCAGUAACACGUGGAUAACCUACCCUUAGGACUGGGAUAACCUUGGGAAACUGAGGCUAAUACCGGAUAGGCAAUUUUUCCUGUAAUGGUUUUUUGUUUAAAUGUUUUUUCGCCUAAGGAUGGGUCUGCGGCCGAUUAGGUAGUUGGUUAGGUAAUGGCUUACCAAGCCGUUGAUCGGUACGGGUUGUGAGAGCAAGAGCCCGGAGAUGGAACCUGAGACAAGGUUCCAGGCCCUACGGGGUGCAGCAGGCGCGAAACCUCCGCAAUGUGAGAAAUCGCGACGGGGGGAUCCCAAGUGCCAUUCUUAACGGGAUGGCUUUUCAUUAGUGUAAAGAGCUUUUGGAAUAAGAGCUGGGCAAGACCGGUGCCAGCCGCCGCGGUAACACCGGCAGCUCUAGUGGUAGCAAUUUUUAUUGGGCCUAAAGCGUCCGUAGCCGGUUUAAUAAGUCUCUGGUGAAAUCCUGUAGCUUAACUGUGGGAAUUGCUGGAGAUACUAUUAGACUUGAGACCGGGAGAGUUAGAGGUACUCCCAGGGUAGAGGUGAAAUUCUGUAAUCUUGGGAGGACCGCCUGUUGCAAAGGCUCUACCUGAACGGUUCUGACGUGAGCGAUAUAUUUAGGCCCCGACCGUAUAAUACCCGGUAGCCUACUGUAAACAUCUACUUGUGUUGGUCGUCUGACCUCCAUGCCAGAGACUUUUAUCCACCCUGGUUCCGUCCAAAUGACUUAGGAUGCGGGACACCACCGUGGCUCGGUAUGAUACCCGUAUUCAAGCCCUGUAUACGGUAUUUCUGCUCAAGGUUCGCCUCUCCCUGGCUUUAUGAGAACACAUCCGCCUGGAAUAUGCAUCUUAUAUUCCGCUAGGGAAGUCAUUUACUUUGGAACCUCCUGAAGGCUUCGGGCCACCCUCUCCCACGUACAGAGCCUUAUGAAUACUUUAUGGNGGNNNUUUGUUGCUUUUCCUUCGCUCNUUCAU
RNAcentral lists this ribosomal RNA (1058 nucleotides) under uncultured rumen archaeon. RNAcentral describes it as "bacterial SSU rRNA". The stretch from base 1 to 759 matches the Rfam family "Archaeal small subunit ribosomal RNA", at positions 4 to 828 of the family's 1478-position model. The record is from RNAcentral.